UCUAAAACCGAAUGUCCUUGACUGUUCAUCCCUAUUCAUUCAACUGUUUAUGAGGGUGCGAAAUGACGGUAUUGCCCUCAGUUUUCUCUGAAUUACCAUGCUACCAUUUCCCCACAAUAUAUAAGCAAAAUCCCUAAUUCUUUGUGUCUUCGGGAAGACUCUAUCAAGAUCGACAUACUGUUUCGCAGCAUCAAUCUGGAUUUGUUGCAGACGAGGUAGAGAGAGAGAGACAAACUGUGAGAGGAAAGAAGAAGUGAUCGAUCUGGAUUUGUUGCAGAAGAGGUGUAGAGAGAGAGAGAGAGAGAUAGAGAGAGGUAUCUGCGUCUGCAAUAGUUGCAGAAAGUAGAAGGAGGUUUUCUAAGUUUGGGAUUUUAGUGAUUGAUUGGGAGAGGUUGAAGGUAAUAUCGAUCUUACUCGAUCAAGUGUGUCGAUCAAGCUGUUGGAUGCGAAGGUCAGUUGAUAGCAGCUUGAGGAGGGAUCAGAUUGGCUAGAUUCCAUAGUCCUGGAAUGAAGUUUUAGGCUUUGAUUUUGUUUGUUAGUAUUAACGUUUCGUUCAACCUUUAAUAUAGACAAAGGAGAAAUUUGGUCGUCUAGAAGCUUUGUUUUGUUGUCUCUGUGUGUUAUUUAAUGUUAUUUAAUUGAUGGUGUAGGUGCGUUUUGUGAAACAUACAUAUGUUUUGGUUACAAUUAGAAUUUUGUCAUUUGUUUUUGUUGGGUUUUUUAUUUUU
This 728-nucleotide long non-coding RNA is filed under the name Rosa chinensis. Its description in RNAcentral is "sRNA RchiOBHm_Chr1g0383691". Lineage: Eukaryota; Viridiplantae; Streptophyta; Magnoliopsida; Rosales; Rosaceae. The record is from RNAcentral.